GGCCCCAUAGCUCAGCUGGAUAGAGCAGCAGAUUUCUAAUCUGCCGGUCGUUGGUUCGAACCCAACUGGGGUCA
RNAcentral lists this transfer RNA (74 nucleotides) under Prevotellaceae bacterium. RNAcentral describes it as "tRNA-Arg". It matches the Rfam family "tRNA". Rfam says of the family: Transfer RNA (tRNA) molecules are approximately 80 nucleotides in length. The record is from RNAcentral. Lineage: Bacteria; Pseudomonadati; Bacteroidota; Bacteroidia; Bacteroidales; Prevotellaceae.